UAGCUCUCAAACGGUCAUGCCAGAGCCUCACGCCCUCGAGUUCUUCACUUUUUCAGUUUCGUUUUUUUGUUUCAAUCUUUUGAUUCUUCUCUCCAGUGCCUCAAACGUUCUGGAUCUCAAACGUUCCCCUCUUCCCCAAUCAUCAAUUAGACUUCAGUUCCUUUCUUCCUCAAUCAUAAAUCCACUUUCAAUUUCGAUCCGAUUCUUCUUGGGCGAAGUAUCGAACUCCCUGUCUUGAAUCUGCCUCUUCUAGAAGCACCAUGAGCUCAAGGCCAAGGAUGAGAAGACCCUCCUCGUUGGUGGGAAGCCAGUCGCCGUCUUUGGGCUUAGAUUAUUAAAUAUUUCAACAAUGAAGCUUUUGAAGCUGAUAAAUUUGAUGAGUACUUGAAGAGUGCAUUCGAAAUUGAGUAAAUGGCUUCAUGCAAACACAAGUCCAUCUGUUUUUAUUUAUCUACAAUAAUCAGGGUUGCAGACUCUAGAGGGCAGCAUCCCCACUCAAAGCAGAAGUUUCCAGAUGCAUCAGCAACAUAUUGUCAUAGUUUGAGCAUCACAAAAUGGAUUCAUCUGAAUUGGGGUGAUGAUGGCUUACUUACACUAUUUUCAAAGAUAUGAAGACUACUUCGUAUGCAGGGUGGCAUUUUUGUGCUGGAACCUCAACCCUGGAAGUGUUGUGAUAAAAAUCAUAAAGUUUCUAAGGUAAUGUUUUCCUCCUUUUUAUUAUUUGUGUUCUGGGUUUUCAAGAAGCGAUUUUGUACCAAUCUCUUAUAGCUCUUAUAGUAUGUCAGGUCUCAACUUCUUUUUUGUCUAAUGUAUUUGGGCUGAAGCAUUUUUUUAUCUCACUUUGCAGGCAACAAGAACCAAUUAUCAAAACUGAUAUUCCAUCUGCAGUUGUUUCAUAAUAUAUUUCUAGAUAAUGUAUUUGAGUUUUUUUUUUCCCCCAUAUCGAAAUGGCUCCAACGGCCUUGAUUUUUUCCAUAUCAAAAAGGCUCCAAUGGCCUUGAUUAC
Long non-coding RNA from Rosa rugosa (rugosa rose), 1005 nucleotides. RefSeq lists it as uncharacterized. Lineage: Eukaryota; Viridiplantae; Streptophyta; Magnoliopsida; Rosales; Rosaceae. The record is from RefSeq and is a predicted model, not a curated record. The transcript is spliced from 6 exons.